RNAcentral lists this ribosomal RNA (413 nucleotides) under uncultured bacterium. RNAcentral describes it as "bacterial SSU rRNA". It matches the Rfam family "Bacterial small subunit ribosomal RNA", at positions 355 to 794 of the family's 1533-position model. The record is from RNAcentral.
UGGGGAAGUAUUGGUCAAUGGGCGCAAGCCUGAUCCAGCCAUGCCGCGUGAGUGAUGAAGGCCUUAGGGUUGUAAAGCUCUUUGUUCCGGGAAGCUGUACCGGAAGAAUAAGCCCCGGCUAACUUCGUGCCAGCAGCCGCGGUAAUACGAAGGGGGCGAGCGUUGCUCGGAAUCACUGGGCGUAAAGGGCGCGUAGGCGGACUCUUAAGUCGGGGGUGAAAGCCCAGGGCUCAACCCUGGAAUUGCCUUCGAUACUGGAGUCUUGAGUCGGAAGAGGUUGGUGGAACUGCGAGUGUAGAGGUGAAAUUCGUAGAUAUUCGCAAGAACACCAGUGGCGAAGGCGGCCAACUUGUCCGAACUGACGCUGAGGCGCGAAAGCGUGGGGAGCAAACAGGAUUAGAUACCCUAGUAGU